Humulus lupulus (European hop) is the source of this 160-nucleotide small nuclear RNA. RefSeq annotates it as U1 spliceosomal RNA. The transcript has a single exon. Lineage: Eukaryota; Viridiplantae; Streptophyta; Magnoliopsida; Rosales; Cannabaceae. The record is from RefSeq and is a predicted model, not a curated record.
AUACUUACCUGGACGGGGUCAAUGGGCGAUCCGUAAGGCUCAUGGCCUAGGUUGGUGGCUUCCAUUGCACUUAGGAAGGGUGCCAGCCUAAGGUCUCCUCAAGCAGGAGAGCCUACGUCAUAAUUUGUUGCCGAGGGGGCCUGCGUACGCGCGGCCCCUG